This 35-nucleotide non-coding RNA is filed under the name Mus musculus (house mouse). The record is from RNAcentral. Lineage: Eukaryota; Metazoa; Chordata; Mammalia; Rodentia; Muridae.
ACUGCAUGCACCACACAAGCCCCCCGCCCCUUUCC